CUACCUGGAGAGUUGCUAGGGGAUGCUCAGGAGCUAAGUGACUUGUCCAAGGUCACAUAGUCAGUAUAUGUCACAAGCAGAAUCACACAUUUUAUGCUACAAAGAAUCUUAGAGGCUAUGUAGCCCAGAUUAAAAAAAACCCAACAAACUAUCCAAGAUUAUCAAAGUAGUAGGGGACGUGAUUAGAACUUUAGUCUGGGUCUCCUUGCCUCUAAGGUUAGUUAUCUCAUCAUUAGAGUAUUUUCCCACAUAUUUGUUUACAUGUUAUGUGUGUGUGUGUACAUAGACAGACACAUACAAACUCUACCAAUAUUGACCAUUUCAUUGUCAAUAAUGAUGUGAGAGGUUCAUGUCUAGCCUGGCCCUAGUCUGAUGUCCUAUGCAAGCUGCUUUCUGGAUAUCACACUGAGAAGCUCUGACUACGUUCCUUGCUGAAUGCAUGAGCCCUUUGCUUCAGACUCUGUUCUGGCUUGGUGACAGCAUGAUCUGCCAGCUGCUUCCCUGCAGACAGCAGCCACUUGCGAAAUUCUGCUUCAGUGACAUUUUACAGUGCUGGAUGUGUGAGCGAUCGUUUGGCCCAUGUAUCCUUUAAGGGAAGAAAACAACUUCAUGACUGCCUUACCAAUUUGCAUUGGAUUAGAAUAUUGAGAUCCCAGAGGAUGUCUAACUACUCCUCUUUGGAUUCUAUAGGGUUUACUUCUGAGCAAGCUGUAGUCAAUGGACAAGUCUCUUCCUUUUUGAUCUUGACUGCCUCCUUACUGGGUCAAGAUUAUGAUGAAUCCAAUCCGUGAAGCGGGAGAAGCAGGAGUUAAUGAACAUUCGAGGGGCUGAAGAGUCUGCAUUUGGGACGCAAGUUCUGUCACUUUCAGUUAUCAUGAUGCUAAGAAAUGAAAUGUAGGUGAGCAGCUUGGUGGCAAUUCACUGAAAUGGUUUUCUGUGGGAAAAUGUGACCUAAAAGUGAACUAGCAGAGCCAUUUUUUUUUUGUGGGAAUGGGGGAGGUUUGCCCAGUAGAACCUAUACAUAUUUUAUGACAUAUUAGAAGAUGGUGAACUAAGCAGGAAUUGUGACAGAAUGAACUUUCUUUACUAUGUUUUGUAGAGCAUGAAGGUCACAGCUGUGUAUGACUGCUUGAAUCGACAGACUGUUUUCCCCUGUGUGCAGCCCAAUGCAUUGGUUUUAACCUGUAAAAUCCUAUUAGGUCUGACUCUUUGUUGUCUCUGAGAUUUUCCUUUUUCCCUAUCUUUGAAAAACGUUAAGAUCUGCCACAGGCUUUUUUUAUGCUUCAAAUAUUUAUUUGCUUUCCAAAGUGUUGGAGUUAGGAUAUUUUUCACCGUUUGCUUUAGUUUUAGAAUUCUCUCAUUCUAAUAUGAGGUUGAGUCAGUAGGACUUCAAAGUAGGAUUUCUUUUUUCUGAUGGUUGG
RNAcentral lists this long non-coding RNA (1421 nucleotides) under Monodelphis domestica (gray short-tailed opossum). Its description in RNAcentral is "lncRNA (ENSMODG00000035419.2)". The record is from RNAcentral. Lineage: Eukaryota; Metazoa; Chordata; Mammalia; Didelphimorphia; Didelphidae.